UCCAGGCAUCACUGUGCUUUGGGCGCCAGCCCCAGUAAGUGAAGUGCAGCUCUGAAAACCAUGAAGGCACGAUCCCCAAGCAGCCCUGUUCAGAAGAGCUGCCCUGCUGGAGCGCUGACUGCUGUGAGGCCUGCAGGGCCCUGCCUGCAGCCCCUCCUUGGAACCAGUACUGGAUCCACCAUUCAGAAGCAGACAAGACUACAAACCCACCUCAACAGCCACUUGCCCAGGCCAUCUGCACCCUCUGUGGACCCUGCUACCCUCACAAGAACUGCAUCCCAUGUCAUGUUGAUGUAGAAAUACCUUUGCUCUCCGUGAAAUGUCUAUUGAUGAUACCUUAAUUAUCUUUUCAAAGAAGUACGUUUUGCUGAGAUAAUAUUUUGAAAAAGCCCAACAUUUCACUUUGUGUCCAGCACUCAUUGACAAAGCUGGUUAAAAUAACAGAGGAAGAUGUCUGGUGUGUAAGGCUGCAAAAGGAUUUUGGAGAUGCUCAUUCAUCCACUGGAACUGCCAAGACCCUAUCUCAAUCAUAUAUGCUCAAGAUCUGGCCUUCAAAAGUGGAAUCUAAAAAUCUUAUUGUUCACUUAGGCCAUGUACAGAUACGUCGUGCUGGAAUCCAGGAAAACAAGGACAUUAUGACAGCAAUUGCAGAAUAUCCAAGUGAUGAGCUGGUGAAGAAAAGGUGCAGUUGCAUGAAUCCACUGAACUGUCCUACCUCUGAGUGCUGUUCACAGAAUGCCACCAGUCUGAGACAUUCACCCACUUUCCAGGUAAGGUACUCUACAUCUCACUCCCAAGGUUUCCUCUCUUUCUAGCCUAGAAGAGCCACACUUUUUCAUGAGCUGAGAUUAAUUCUCCAGGUGGCAAUAUCAUACCCUCUUGAACUGGAUUUUCUUCCCACAGCUAAAUGUAACAAUGUGUUACAGCAAAGAAUUAGGAGCACCACUGAAUGUCUACGCUCACUUAUUUUAGUCCUCCCUGCUCCUGAAAAGAGCCAGCCUCCUACUGACCCAGAAAUCCCAAACCCAACACACUCCCUGAUCACUGAGUCAGAAUGCUUCAUUUGCUCAGUGCAUUGCUAUAAGUCCAAAACUUCAAGCUGCUUUUAAUUGAUAUCCAAGUAAAAAUAUCAUCUCCUUCCUUUCCUUGCAGCCAGGGGUUUAUGUUUUGAUUUUUUUCCACCCAAUAAAAUGAAAUAGAAGUCUUGUUUAGAACCCUGU
This 1220-nucleotide long non-coding RNA is filed under the name Anser brachyrhynchus (Pink-footed goose). RNAcentral describes it as "lncRNA (ENSABRG00000000549.1)". The record is from RNAcentral. Lineage: Eukaryota; Metazoa; Chordata; Aves; Anseriformes; Anatidae.